This 1247-nucleotide long non-coding RNA is filed under the name Equus caballus (horse). RNAcentral describes it as "lncRNA (ENSECAG00000060022.1)". The record is from RNAcentral. Lineage: Eukaryota; Metazoa; Chordata; Mammalia; Perissodactyla; Equidae.
GAUAGCUGGCCGCAGCACCAGGAGCCUCUCUUACCACAGUUGUGUGAUAGUCCCUUCCUGCUUUGAUGGGUAGCUGGGACUGCAACUUGGUCCUUUGCUGAGAAAAUUUACUAGUCUAUGGAAAACAAAGGUAGCCUAUUCCAACGUUCUGACGUCUUUCUAAAAUUACAAUCCAGUAGGCACUUGGACCAAAUCCUAAAAUAGCAAGGGGUUCAGCUCUAUGGGUCACAGUUCAACCACCUGCCUCACUAUUGUAUAACAAAUGUUGCCAAAUUCCCAGCUAGAACUGAGGGCAUCCUCACCACCUUAGAAAUCAUCUCAGCUUAAUCAGUUUCCCACACUUAGACCAGCCUAAAAGAAAAAAGAGAGUUUGUUAACUGACAUACCUGGGAAAUUCUGUGGAUAAAUCUUUAGCUACAAUUAAUUCCAGAGGCUCAAGUGAUGACAUCAGACAUCAGAACUCUCCAUCCGUCUCUCAACUUGAUUCUACUUGGCUUUGAUAAACAGUCUCACCCGAUAGCAGUCACGAUGUCUCCUGGCUACUCUGACUAACAAGCUUCUCAGUAUAACGAUCUCGGGGGAAAUAAACCUUCACUCCUCCAAUAACCACAGAGCAAUCCCUGUGGCUAAGGGUGGGGUUCUCAUAAAGGGAUAACAAGAAAAAUUCCCUGAAGGCCCUUGACAAAGGGAGCGGAAAAGUCUGUGGGCAGACUCCACUUCACUCUUGCUACUCAAGGUGUCGUUCACGAGCCACCAGCAGGGCAGCAUCACCUGAGAGCAUGUUAGAAAUGGGAAUAUAGCACUGCAGCCUCCAUCCAAAACUUCUCCAUCUGACUCUUCAGUUAACAAGCUCCCCAGGUGAUUCGCAUGCACAGUAGAAUCGAGAAAGUCUGCUUUAAUAAAGUGGCCAUCCAAGCGAGAAUGCAGGGGAAAAGCAUUUUUAUGCCGGGACUUAGAAAGUAGAAGCCCACGUCUCCUUCCUGAAAGAAGACAUUCCACGACGUCCAGCCAUCUGAGAGAGACACAAUGAAUUCAAGAAUGGAGAUGCUGAGAUUUAAAAGGAUAAUCUCUGACUCUUCCCAUGAAGUGGUGACAGCUGCUGGCAGGACCAGACACUCAUUCUUACAACCUAGCACCAGCAGAAGAAAGAGGGCUGCUGUGGCCAUGUAGUCCCAGAAAACAUCUCAGGAUUGCCUCUUCUUAGCCCUGCCUCAGUCAUUUGACACCCCAAGCCAGAAUUUGUGGCC